This 449-nucleotide ribosomal RNA is filed under the name Paenibacillus favisporus. Its description in RNAcentral is "bacterial SSU rRNA". It matches the Rfam family "Bacterial small subunit ribosomal RNA", at positions 50 to 478 of the family's 1533-position model. Lineage: Bacteria; Bacillati; Bacillota; Bacilli; Caryophanales; Paenibacillaceae. The record is from RNAcentral.
AAUACAUGCAAGUCGAGCGGACUUGAUGGAGAGCUUGCUCUCCUGAUGGUUAGCGGCGGACGGGUGAGUAACACGUAGGCAACCUGCCUGCAAGACCGGGAUAACCCACGGAAACGUGAGCUAAUACCGGAUAUCUCAUUUCCUCUCCUGAGGGRAUGAUGAAAGACGGAGCAAUCUGUCACUUGCGGAUGGGCCUGCGGCGCAUUAGCUAGUUGGUGAGGUAACGGCUCACCAAGGCGACGAUGCGUAGCCGACCUGAGAGGGUGAACGGCCACACUGGGACUGAGACACGGCCCAGACUCCUACGGGAGGCAGCAGUAGGGAAUCUUCCGCAAUGGGCGAAAGCCUGACGGAGCAACGCCGCGUGAGUGAUGAAGGUUUUCGGAUCGUAAAGCUCUGUUGCCAGGGAAGAACGUCCGRUAGAGUAACUGCUAUCGGAGUGACGGURC